GUGUAUGGCCAUGCCAUCCUGAACAAGCCCGAUAUCUGAUCUCAGAAACUAAGCAGCGUUUGGCCUGGUUAGUACUUGGAUGGGAGACCAUCUAGGAAGACCAGGUGCUGUAGGCA
This 116-nucleotide ribosomal RNA is filed under the name Pteropus alecto (black flying fox). Lineage: Eukaryota; Metazoa; Chordata; Mammalia; Chiroptera; Pteropodidae. The record is from RNAcentral.